RNAcentral lists this ribosomal RNA (253 nucleotides) under uncultured bacterium. Its description in RNAcentral is "partial 16S ribosomal RNA". It matches the Rfam family "Bacterial small subunit ribosomal RNA", at positions 524 to 776 of the family's 1533-position model. The record is from RNAcentral.
UACGUAGGGUGCGAGCGUUAGUCGGAAUUACUGGGCGUAAAGCGUGCGCAGGCGGUUCGCCAAGUCAGGUGUGAAAUCCCCGGGCUUAACCUGGGAAUUGCGCUUGAAACUACAAGGCUAGAGUGUAGCAGAGGGGGGUGGAAUUCCACGUGUAGCAGUGAAAUGCGUAGAGAUGUGGAGGAACACCGAUGGCGAAGGCAGCCCCCUGGGCUAACACUGACGCUCAGGCACGAAAGCGUGGGGAGCAAACAGG